Molecule: long non-coding RNA, 955 nt
Filed under: Homo sapiens (human)
Lineage: Eukaryota; Metazoa; Chordata; Mammalia; Primates; Hominidae
Description: HSALNT0294115
Source: RNAcentral
AGAUUCUGCAUAUAUUUCCAAGUUAACAUGAACAAGAUUUUCUGAAAGACUGCUAUGGAGUCUGAGAAAAAAUGUCAAAGGUAGUGCCAAAAUUGUCACUUAAAGAACUGCAGGAAUGGAGUUGGCAUUUACAGAAUUUGGAAGAGAAGCAGGUUUAGUGAUAAAGACCAGAAGCACAGAGCUAAGCAUAUUAAAUAUUGAGGACAUGAAGAGGAAAGAACUGACAGAGGAGGUGAAGAAAGGUGAUCAGGAAGAGCCAUCAAAGUGUUAUCCUGGAAUUCAAGUGAAGACAGUGUUUCAAAGUGGAAAUGAACAGUGUCCUGUAACCCUCAGAGUGAGACUAGAGUCAGAAUGCAGGCUUUUCUCAUUUGAAAUCUCAAGGUAAGUCCAGGUCCUUACCUCCACCUAAAAGUUCUGCCAUCAAGGAACAUCUGCUCAUUAUCUUCUGUUCACACAUCAAAUGACUUCAAUGUGAUCCCUGGAUGUUCUCCAAAGAGCUGAAGGGAAAUAAAUAUUCUUUCUUUAUCACCAAAUACUUCAACUGCAGAGUGAUUGUGCUACCAAGGCCUGAAACUUCGGAAAAACCUGCAUAACACAAAAUAUAAAAUAUGCCACAGAGAGGAUCCAGAGAGCCCAUCUCCGGUCAGUUAUCUGUAUUUGUAUGUCAACUACAGCAUCAAAAAGCAUAGGCAUGGAUACUAAGGACCCCCUCUGUACACCAACGCCAGUCCAAAGGACAGUGUGUCACUGUGAACUGGAAAUUCAUCUCUCUUCUUCAAUUUUUUUCUACCUACUUUAUGCUUUAUCUCUAAGUUGAGGCUGUUUAUGGCCUCAUCCUCAAUUACCUUGUCCCUCAUUACUCCCAGUUAAUGGAGAUUAAGCUUUGUAUCAUGACUUCCUAACUAAAAUUGAAAUCACAAGACAUCACAUAAAUAAAGUUACAAAUGGAUUAGAU